RNAcentral lists this ribosomal RNA (689 nucleotides) under Mycena sp. SFSU DED7640. RNAcentral describes it as "partial small subunit ribosomal RNA". The stretch from base 336 to 689 matches the Rfam family "Bacterial small subunit ribosomal RNA", at positions 1 to 907 of the family's 1533-position model. Lineage: Eukaryota; Fungi; Basidiomycota; Agaricomycetes; Agaricales; Mycenaceae. The record is from RNAcentral.
GCCCCAAGCCGUGCCAGAAGACUCGGUAAGGCCCGAAGCGCAAACGUUAGUCGUAAUAAACAGGCGUAAAGGGUGUGUAGGCUGCUUUUCAAAACUGAUCUUUUUUUGAUAACUACUUUGGAAAAAAAAAUUUAAAACAAAAAGAAAUUGACUCUAGUGUUAUAAGAUAAUAGGUAAAAAAUAUAGAUAAACUGUAUUAUUUCCAGAAGAAUAAAAUAAGAAAAUCCUAUAAUACUAUUGACUAAUGCUAGUUUAGUAAUUUAAAUAAUGAAGAAUUAUUUAAAAAUUUAGUUUAUGAAUAAAAAAAAAUUUUAUUUAUAAUUAGUUUUUAUUUUUGCUCUUACAUUUUUUUUUUAGAUAAAAUUAGGUUUUUAUCUUUUAAUUCAAUUGGAAAAAAAAAGAAAGGCGACUAGAAGCUAGAAUCAGAUCGAGGUAAAACAAAAUAAUUCUUAGUGUAGGGAUUUUAUCUGAAGAUAUUAAGAGGAAUAAUAUUAGGUGUAAGCUUUUUUCCAUUAAUGAUUGACGCUGAGACACGAGGGCAAGUUUAGGGAAUAGGAUUAGAUACCCAAAAUACCUCUUGCUGUAAACGAUGCACGGUUUUUAUUAUUGGUAGUUUAAAUACUGCUACUGACGCUAACGCUAUAACCAUGCCGCCUUGCGAGUACGGUUGCAAAACUGANACCAAAAAA